RNAcentral lists this ribosomal RNA (482 nucleotides) under uncultured bacterium. RNAcentral describes it as "bacterial SSU rRNA". It matches the Rfam family "Bacterial small subunit ribosomal RNA", at positions 28 to 507 of the family's 1533-position model. The record is from RNAcentral.
GAUGAACGCUGGCGGCGUGCUUAAUACAUGCAAGUCGAACGAAGCACCUUGGACAGAAUCCUUCGGGAGGAAGACCAUUGUGACUGAGUGGCGGACGGGUGAGUAACGCGUGGGUAACCUGCCUUGUACAGGGGGAUAACAGUUGGAAACGACUGCUAAUACCGCAUAAGCGCACAGUACCGCAUGGUACGGUGUGAAAAACUCCGGUGGUACAAGAUGGACCCGCGUCUGAUUAGCUUGUUGGUGAGGUAACGGCCCACCAAGGCGACGAUCAGUAGCCGACUUGAGAGAGUGAUCGGCCACAUUGGGACUGAGACACGGCCCAAACUCCUACGGGAGGCAGCAGUAGGGAAUAUUGCACAAUGGGGGAAACCCUGAUGCAGCGACGCCGCGUGAAGGAAGAAGUAUUUCGGUAUGUAAACUUCUAUCAGCAAGGAAGAAAAAUGACGGUACUUGACUAAGAAGCCCCGGCUAAAUACGUG